Molecule: ribosomal RNA, 468 nt
Filed under: uncultured bacterium
Lineage: Bacteria
Description: partial 16S ribosomal RNA
Rfam family: Bacterial small subunit ribosomal RNA
Source: RNAcentral
GACGAACGCUGGCGGCGUGCUUAACACAUGCAAGUCGAACGGAAAGGCCCUGCUUUUGUGGGGUGCUCGAGUGGCGAACGGGUGAGUAACACGUGAGUAACCUGCCCUUGACUUUGGGAUAACUUCAGGAAACUGGGGCUAUUACCGGAUAGGAGCUCCUGCUGCAUGGUGGGGGUUGGAAAGUUUCGGCGGUUGGGGAUGGACUCGCGGCUUAUCAGCUUGUUGGUGGGGUAGUGGCUUACCAAGGCUUUGACGGGUAGCCGGCCUGAGAGGGUGACCGGCCACAUUGGGACUGAGAUACGGCCCAGACUCCUACGGGAGGCAGCAGUGGGAAAUAUUGCACAAUGGGCGGGAGCCUGAUACAGCAACGCCGCGUGCGGGAUGACGGCCUUCGGGUUGUAAACCGCUUUCGCCUGUGACGAAGCGUGAGUGACGGUAAUGGGUAAAGAAGCACCGGCUAACUACGUG